This 1328-nucleotide ribosomal RNA is filed under the name Insectozyma chauliodis. RNAcentral describes it as "Candida chauliodis small subunit ribosomal RNA". It matches the Rfam family "Bacterial small subunit ribosomal RNA". The record is from RNAcentral. Lineage: Eukaryota; Fungi; Ascomycota; Pichiomycetes; Serinales; Debaryomycetaceae.
AUCAAUAUGAAUAUGAUGUUAGUUCAGAUCCAACGCUAUACAGGGACAUUACACAUGCUAGUACGUAUAUACGUGCGAACGGGUGAGUAGUUAUGGGAGAAUAUAGAAACUCCUAACGGAUGUAGGUAGUAGUAUUUUUAUUAAUACUAGCCGUUGACCCGUAGUCGGGGGUGGAAGCCCGAACGAUCACAUAGACUAUAAUAGGUCUACUACUCUUAGUAGCAGCAGUGGGGAAUCAUUGGCAAUGACCUAACGGUUGACCAUGUCACCUGUAUGAGCCUUAUCGAUAUACCAAAUAAAAAGAUUAUAUUUUUAUAUAAUUAAAUAAAUAAGUAAUGAACGAUAAAUUAAGCUCAAUAUAUAUUAAAAUAAUGAUUAAAUAUAUAGUUAGUCCUGACCCAGUUGGUGUGCCAGCAGUCGCGGUCACACAUCCAGGGCUAGCGUUGGUCACCCUUGGCAUAAAGGAUCAGUAGGCGUAAUAAAAUAUAGCAUGUUAAUAAAUUAAUUCAUGAAUUGCUGCUUGAGAGAUUAAAUACUAUGACAGCAGUAGGACAGCAAACAGGAUUAAUAUAACAUGGACGCUGAGGGAUGAAAGCUACGGUAACGAAGGGGAUUCGAUACCCCCCUAGUCGUAGCUGUAAACGAUGUCCAUUCGAAUAUUUUAGCAAAGCUAAGGCGUAAAAUGGACCGCCAGGCUAGUACGCUCGCAAGAGUGAAAUGCAAGACAUUAGACGGUUGGGUACAGUAGCAGUGGAGCAUACUGUUUAAUUGGUCGAUACCCCCUAAACCUUACCUACUCUUGAAUAAGUAUUAGAAAUAAUAUUUACAGGCGUUACAUUGCUGUCGUCAGUUCAUGCUCAGUGGCUUACUAUUCAGUUAGUUAAUGAACGCAACCCUUCACGCCUGUCCGCCGCAGUGUAACUGCGGCGGACCGGCGUUGUGAAUACCUUACUAGGUGUCGGAAGCUAGGGAUAACGACUAGUCCGCAUGACCCUUAUGAGUUGGGCUACAGGUGUGCUACAAACGUGUAUACAAUAUAUAUAUAUUAAUAUUAUAUAUUUUUAUGAAAGUACAUGAUUAUGAAAGUUUCUUUUAAUUGGAUUAUUUCCUGCAACGGAUUUAUGAAAGCGGAAUUGCUAGUAAUGGUGGACUAGAGUGCCACCGUGAAUAUACCAUACCCUUCGUACUAAUCACUCAUCAAUAGCACAGUAGUACAAAUAUUAUUGACUAAUAUAAUAUUAUUUAUAUAAGGAUCUAAUAUUUGUCUCAUGUGCUAUAAGUUGAAAUACAGUUCCGGUAGGGGAACCUGCCGGGGAUAUAUUAAUUUA